AAGUCGUAACAAGGUUUCCGUAGGUGAACCUGCGGAAGGAUCAUUAAUGAAUAUUACUUAUUCAUCCCAUGUUAAACUGUCUAUUAUAUCUAUAAAUUAAAAUACAUUUUAUAACUUAUACAACUUUUAACGGUGGAUCUCUUGGUUCCU
Molecule: unclassified non-coding RNA, 150 nt
Filed under: fungal sp.
Lineage: Eukaryota; Fungi
Description: partial internal transcribed spacer region
Rfam family: Eukaryotic small subunit ribosomal RNA (bases 1-46)
Source: RNAcentral